UGGGGAAUUUUGGACAAUGGGACGCAAGCCUGAUCCAGCCAUGCCGCGUGCGGGAAGAAGGCCUUCGGGUUGUAAACCGCUUUUGUCAGGGAAGAAAUGCUUCUGAGUUAAUACCUCGGGAGGAUGACGGUACCUGAAGAAUAAGCACCGGCUAACUACGUGCCAGCAGCCGCGGUAAUACGUAGGGUGCAAGCGUUAAUCGGAAUUACUGGGCGUAAAGCGUGCGCAGGCGGUUUUGUAAGACAGAGGUGAAAUCCCCGGGCUCAACCUGGGAACUGCCUUUGUGACUGCAAGGCUUGAGUGCGGCAGAGGGGGAUGGAAUUCCGCGUGUAGCAGUGAAAUGCGUAGAUAUGCGGAGGAACACCGAUGG
RNAcentral lists this ribosomal RNA (370 nucleotides) under uncultured bacterium. RNAcentral describes it as "partial 16S ribosomal RNA". It matches the Rfam family "Bacterial small subunit ribosomal RNA", at positions 355 to 715 of the family's 1533-position model. The record is from RNAcentral.